This 887-nucleotide non-coding RNA is filed under the name unclassified sequences. RNAcentral's name for it is "MISL RNA". It matches the Rfam family "MISL RNA". The record is from Rfam by way of RNAcentral.
AGAUAUACCCCAAACUUCGGUUUGGGAAAAGGUCGGGAUGAGCUAACGUUCCCGGCCCCUACUGUGAGUUGCCUUUUAAGGCAGCGAGAUUAUCUUCGGAUAAUUAUAUGCGGCAGGCACAUGUCACCGGCUUCAACGAAAAGGUUCGUGCCUUUUCGGUUUAACACGUAAUUGAAGUCUGGCGGUGAGCGGCAACUUAAAGUGAAGCAAUAAAAAUGCACACUAGAGUAAGAACCAGCUGCAAACCGAGUGAUGCUCCAAGUUCCGGUUCGGAACAAAAGAGCAAACACAGUCGGUCACCGACCGACAGUUGCUACUGUGAGUUAGUGCGGAGUAAAUAACGUAGUUCGACAGUGUGAACGAAAAAAAUGCUGUUAGAUCGUAGGGGUGUCGCAAUCAAUACGGGAAAAAGAACUGCGGCUUCGCGGAGUGAGCGAACCAAGUGAGAGGCGCCCGGAUACGGGCAGUGAUCAUGGAAGCGCGAUAAAAUCCGAAGCGCGGGAGGCUGUAGAAAGGCCGUCCGCUUGAGACAAUAAAAGCAACUUGAGGGUUAAGAGACAAGACCCGUUGCCUAAGGCAAACGAUCGAUGACGAAAGAAGUCGAUGCUGACCUUGGGCUGCAGGAACGGAAGAGGAGAUCUCAAUCACUACCGAUCCGUGUUCGGACUGUGAGUGUCGGCAGACAAGCGCAAAACCGGGCAGAGAAGUCUCACCCAACAAAGAACCAGCGGUUACGCUGGAAUCAGGUUCUGCUGUGGGACCGAAACGUAUUGCAAUCGUUCUUGCGGUAUGACGCAGCGUCGGGGAACUGGCAGCCAAUAAUCACUCGACGGGUGAUGAGGGCGCCCAAUGCCAGUGAAUCGAGGAAAGAGAGCGUGGCGAGCUCC